This 1361-nucleotide ribosomal RNA is filed under the name uncultured bacterium. RNAcentral describes it as "bacterial SSU rRNA". It matches the Rfam family "Bacterial small subunit ribosomal RNA", at positions 28 to 1381 of the family's 1533-position model. The record is from RNAcentral.
GAUGAACGCUAGCUACAGGCUUAACACAUGCAAGUCGAGGGGUAACAUGAAGCAAGCUUGCUUGCUUUGAUGACGACCGGCGCACGGGUGAGUAACGCGUAUCCAACCUGCCCCUUACUACGGGACAGCCCGGCGAAAGUCGGAUUAAUACCGUAUGUGGUGUGAAGAGGGCAUCUGACUUACACUAAAGAUUCAUCGGUAAGGGAUGGGGAUGCGUCCGAUUAGGUUGUCGGCGGGGUAACGGCCCACCGAGCCUUCGAUCGGUAGGGGUUCUGAGAGGAAGGUCCCCCACACUGGAACUGAGACACGGUCCAGACUCCUACGGGAGGCAGCAGUGAGGAAUAUUGGUCAAUGGGCGGGAGCCUGAACCAGCCAAGUAGCGUGAGGGAAGACUGCCCUAUGGGUUGUAAACCUCUUUAGUCUGGGAAUAAAGUCGGCGACGUGUCGCCGUUUGUAGGUACCAGAAGAAUAAGGACCGGCUAAUUCCGUGCCAGCAGCCGCGGUAAUACGGAAGGUCCGGGCGUUAUCCGGAUUUAUUGGGUUUAAAGGGAGCGCAGGCGGCCUGUUAAGCGGGCAGUUAAAGGCGGUGGCCCAACCAUCGUUAGCUGUCCGAACUGCCGGGCUUGAGUACGUGCGAGGUAUGCGGAAUUCGUGGUGUAGCGGUGAAAUGCUUAGAUAUCACGAAGAACCCCGAUUGCGAAGGCAGCAUACCAGUGCGCCACUGACGCUAAAGCUCGAAAGCGCGGGUAUCGAACAGGAUUAGAUACCCUGGUAGUCCGCGCGGUAAACGAUGGAUGCCCGCUGUGCGGCCUUUUAUGGUUGCGCGGCCAAGCGAAAGCGUUAAGCAUCCCACCUGGGGAGUACGUACGCAAGUAUGAAACUCAAAGGAAUUGACGGGGACCCGCACAAGCAGCGGAGCAUGUGGUUUAAUUCGAAGCAACGCGAAGAACCUUACCAGGCCUUGACAUCUCCCGGAAACUUCUGAUAACGAAGAAGCCUCCUUCGGGACCGGGGUGACAGGUGGUGCAUGGUUGUCGUCAGCUCGUGUCGUGAGAUGUUGGGUUAAGUCCCGCAACGAGCGCAACCCUUGCCAAUAGUUGCCAUCAUUAAGUUGGGCACUCUAUUGGGACUGCCGGGGACAACUCGGAGGAAGGUGGGGAUGACGUCAAAUCAUCAUGCCCCUUAUGGUCUGGGCUACACACGUGCUACAAUGGUCGGUACAAAAAGCAGCAAUACCGUGAGGUGGAGCGAAUCUCCAAAACCGAUCCCAGUUCGGAUUGCAGGCUGCAACUCGCCUGCAUGAAGUCGGAGUUGCUAGUAAUCGUGGAUCAGAAUGCCACGGUGAAUGCGUUCCCGGGUCU